Columba livia (rock pigeon) is the source of this 4865-nucleotide RNA transcript. It is a transcript of the gene named solute carrier family 41 member 3, with no coding region annotated. The transcript has 16 exons. NCBI's taxonomy places the organism in Eukaryota, Metazoa, Chordata, Aves, Columbiformes, Columbidae. The record is from RefSeq and is a predicted model, not a curated record.
CACUGGGAUGUGUUUCGGACAAUUACAGAAGUUUUUAUCCUGGUUCCUGCCUUGGUUGGCCUGAAGGGUAAUCUCGAGAUGACACUGGCAUCCAGGCUCUCCACUGCUGCUAACACCGGACAGAUGGAUGAUGCGCAGAAGCAAUGGAAAAUGGCCACCUGCAAUUUAGCCCUUAUCCAGGUCCAGGCCACCGUGGUGGGACUUCUGGCUGCUGUUGCUGCUGUGAUCCUGGGAGCCAUCUCCAAGGGCUCGGUGGAGCUGAGCCAGGCUGCCGUGCUGUGUGCCAGCAGCGUGACCACGGCCUUCAUAGCUGCACUUUCUCUCGGUCUGGUAAUGAUUGGAGUGAUCAUCGGAGCAAGGAAAGUUGGGAUCAAUCCAGACAAUGUUGCCACACCCAUAGCAGCAAGCCUGGGAGACUUGAUAACCCUUUCCCUGCUGGCGGGAAUCAGCAGCACACUCUUCAAAUACAUAGAUAUGAAAUACCUUUCUCCUCUGAUCUGUGUUGUCUUCAUUGUCAUGAUCCCCCUCUGGGUUGCUAUCGCCAAGCAAAGUCCUUCCCUUGCCGAAGUCCUGAAGUCUGGAUGGCAGCCGGUCAUUGUUGCAAUGAGCAUCAGCAGCAUCGGUGGGCUCAUCUUGGACAAAACUGUAACUGAUCCAAACUUCGAAGGCAUGGCCGUUUUCACACCUGUGAUUAACGGUGUUGGAGGGAAUCUGGUCGCCAUCCAGGCCAGCCGUAUUUCCACAUUCCUGCACUUCUGGAGCAUGCCUGGAGUUUUGCCGUACAAGAUGAGGCAGAAUUGGCCCAACCCAUGCACCACAUUCUUCUCAUCAGAGGUGAAUUCCAAGUCAGCCCGAGUCCUGUUCCUCCUGGUUGUCCCAGGGCACCUGGUGUUCCUCUACACCAUCCAUCUGCUGCAGGGGGGCCACACGUCUCUGUCCUUCACCUUUGUGAUGUUCUAUCUGACUGCUGCUUUGCUGCAGGUGGGAAUCCUGCUCUACGUGGCUGAUCUAAUUGUGCGCCUGAUGUGGAGGAAGGCGCUGGACCCCGAUAAUUUCUCCAUCCCCUACCUCACUGCCCUGGGCGACCUCCUGGGCACCGGAUUCCUUGCCGUCUGUUUCCGCCUGGUCUGGCUCGUCCACGGCGCAGACAUGAACCUGGGCAACUGAGAGACCAAGUGCUGCUCUGCAUCAUUCGUGCGACACGGUGCUUUCCUCUGGGACAACGGGGUACCCUCGUGAUGAGUGCUGGGUCACCUGGCUGGAUUAGGCCCCCCUUGUUGCCCCUGCACCCUCUCUCUCCUCUCCAUUGUGCCUUACAGCUGGGCUCACCCGCUCCAAGGAAUCAGCACCCACAGACUUGCACCCUCGCAAGUCAGCAAGCCGGUUUUAAGCAGUGCCCGCUGCUCACACCUGUGCCCGACAAACAAGGCGUUAAGGAGCAUUUGGGCUAUUUGUAAUGAAUGAGCAUUUUGAUGGGUUUCAAGCACCAACAGCCUGCGAGGCUGCUCCAAAGCCGAGGUCACUGCAUCCGAUCCUGCAAGUGGAUGUCACAACCUCUCCAUUGGACUCUGACUUUCCAUCAGGAGAAGUUCUUUAUUCACCCCCUUUUCUCUCCUGUCACAUCCCUGCACGAGGGGGGCAACCAGGUCUUUAAACUUGUCUCAUCUCCAUCGCUCAGACAACUCAGGAUCUGACGCAGUGAGCUCCUCGCUGGCUUGUGCCCAGCAGGAGGUUAUCUAGGGAUACCACCCACCUGUGCUGGCAGCAUCACUGCUGUCUGACCAACAGGCUGGAUUGAUUGCAUUUUCGGCAUAGGAAGGUUUGUUUUUACGGUUUAUGGAAUGUCCAGUAGCUAAAAUGUUUAUAGAAACAACACGCACAAAUAAAGUGGUUAAAAAAAAAAAGGUAAUGCUGUGGAUUUGGGGUGUUUUUUUCUUGCCAUGGCUCUGCCUGUUUCUAGUAUGAGCUUGUCAGGUAGAACUUCUUGCUCACUUCUUUCUCACUCAUUUGUGGUUGGACAGGACAGUUUUAACAGGGCUUCAGGAAAAUCAGUGUUUCCUAACCAGGAGCAGCGUUCUGCAGCCCAUAUGUUUCAGGUUAGCAUUAAAGCCCCUACCUUCUCCCACAGUUGCCACCCACUAAUUAACAAUUGCUCUGCAAUGAGUCUACGAUCUUCAUGUGUGCAUAAGGACUGUGCUGGGCUGGGUGAGGGUUUGGCGUGAGGAUUUGGCAAACAGUUCCUUAGGUCCUCACUCCAAGGUGGCUAUUCCGUGCUACCAGGAACAGGUUAAGGAGGCUUGUGGGGCUGAAAGCAGCCAGUUCUCACUGAAAUCAAAGAAGCAGGGUUCUCCAGAUAAGAUGCCGAAGAAUCAGGAGUUGAGGACACUGUUAAAUGCUUAAAUUAGAGCUGUGUUGGGUGCCUGUUGGCCUUGGGUGUUUCUCUGCUCCUGGUGCUGCUCCGAUCUCCCAGAGCUGCUGCAAAGCUGAGGCCCCUGCGCAGGAUUGACAUGUGGCUGAAGGUCCCUACCAAGAAAAGUUGGGCCACCAGGCUUGGGGAAAAACCCUCCCUGAAAAAAAAAAUGAGCUGUCACCUUCCUCCUCUCCAAGCCUGCUCCUCUCUUCCUUUUCUGUUACGACAGAUAAAUUAUCUCAUGCUGGCUGAGCCGAAGAGGAUGCGCACCUCAGCUUCUUAGUGGGGAGAUUUCAGCAUUCGAAGCACACGCUCCCCCUCGUCUUGGGCCCUUUUUUAUCUCUCGCUGCAGCCCGUGUGCUCUCAGCUCCGCUGGGCUGCGCCGCCCUCGGCCCCGAGCACCCGCGGGGGAUUACUGCAGCAGCAGCAGCUGAGGGGGCUGGUGGGGAAAGCAAAGCAAACGUCUGAUUGCUGGUCCCAGUUUGAGAGGGGGCUGCAUUAGGAGAUACAUAAGUAUAUAUUUGAAUAACUUGAGCUUAGCGUUUUAUUUUGUAAACCUUUAUUAGCGCCAGUUUGGCGCUGGCUCCUGCAGUCCUGGCACAUAACUCCUGGAAAAUAACUCCUCCGGCCUCAAGACUGUCUUUUCUCCUCCUCGCUGCAUGUCCUCACUGUGCUGGAGAUGUCCUCUCUGGACCUUGGUGCUUUUGCUGCUGGUGUGAAUCAGCAUCAGCUCCGAGUGUCCAACCCUCAGUUGCUCCUCUGCCAUGUGAUUGCGACAAAACCCAAGCACUGUUGCUUCCUUUCGUCGGGGGAUUUCUGGGCAGAGUUUGGCUUGUUCUCCUUGUUGCUACUGACAGAGUACACGGAUGGGAACAGAAAAAGGGCCUUUGCUAACAAAGGUUAUAUGCGAUCCUGGAGCAUGGUUUGGAUCAGUGUUACUGUAACUCCACCUGAACCUGCUUCUCCAAUGAAGCCGUCCCAGUGGUGGCACUGAGCUCAGUCCUCAUCGCAGCAAGUGAAAGUCUAUUUAAUCCUCCAGCUGGUAAACAACCCAAUCUGCAGCGCACAGCAAGCUCUGGAAGGAAACCUCCUUAUUGCUGAAGCUCAGUUUUCUUCCACUGGAAGGAGAAAGUCAACAGCUUCACAUGGGCCACCAGGGAUGGGGCCAGCAGCUCCGUAGUGUGAAAUACCCGCAGCAAAGUGCCCGAAGGCUGGAGCCAGCAGAGCUGUUGGUGGAACUCACAGGAAGGGACAGGCUCAGUUUUAGCCACGUUGGACUGUGGCAAAGCUCAACGCUGCAGGAAGGGAAGAUGCCACCUCUUGUCUGGGAAUGCACACAUGUUUGUGUAAAUAUGAUGUUGCACACACGCGAGCAUAUGUAGACCUGCAUAAACCAAAUGGCUAUUAAGUAUUACAGUUAUAUACAAAUAUAAUCACUCUAUUAAACAUAUAAUAUCUGUGAUGGCUCCACAGCAGCUCCCCAGCCUUGCACUGAACCCCAGGGCUGAUCUGGUUCCCUCAGAGCUGCCUGUCCCCAAGCCCUGGAGCCUGAGAACAGGAUGGGACCCCUGUGGUACCAGAAGCCUCCAAUGGGACUGGAAACACUCGGCAACUCAGAAGUCUGAAUGCUACUUCAUAUGGCAACAGUCACGGCUCCUGUUGCCGAGCUGGGGUGACCCUGCAGAAAUACCAACUUGGGGUUGUUUUGGCAGUGUGACAGCAGCCGUGCUCGUUCCGGGUAGGUUGGUUGGUCCUCUCUUCACCUCGUUGGUCACAGGGCUGCUCGAGAAGAGUCGUCACCUCUGCUCAUCAUCAAACCUUGGCCAAAACGCAGCGCAGGACAUGUCCAGCAUCACCUUUUCCUCACCACACUGACCUCGCACGUCCCAGCACAGUGCUCACCCAAGUGCUUUACAACCCCAACGUGCCCCAGGACCUUUCUCUGUUCCCCAGUGCGACGUGAGAGGCACCGGCAGAGCAGCACGAGGUGCUGGGACAACGAGCCAGCGCUGCCUCUGGGUCCUGCCAGCCAGAACACUGUGAGGACGUGAUUUUAACUGCGCAGUCACCUAUAUACAGCUUUGCAAAACCAAUUACCACCCUGUCUUAAAAUCCAGGAGGUGUGGGGCCUGGAUUUAUUGGAUUUGAGCAGAAAUUCAGAGAUGUGCAGGCACCUGCACUGCCUGCUCUGCUGUUGUAGUUCAGCAGAAAGCUCUGUGUCUAUCAGCUCAUACCUCCUCUCUCUCUUUGGAGUAUUUUGCAUCCCAACCACGAGCAUGUGGGAAGAGAGGAACAAAAAAGCCCUCCAGGCUUUGUCGGGAGAAAUGCACGGUCACAGUAAUACCACCACUGCCUUCCAUAGUGAUGGGGAAGGAGGCACAAGAACAAGGUGAAAAGAAAAGAGGUGAGCAAUUUUAAACAAAACCAAAAUCUUCCAUUAAAUUAAUUAUUGCUU